UACAGAGGGUGCGAGCGUUAAUCGGAGUUACUGGGCGUAAAGCGCACGUAGGCGGCUUGGUAUGUCGGGGGUGAAAUCCCCGGGCUCAACCUGGGAACUGCAUCCGAAACUGCCUUGCUCGAGUAUGGGAGAGGGAAGUGGAAUUUCCGGUGUAGCGGUGAAAUGCGUAGAUAUCGGAAGGAACAUCAGUGGCGAAAGCGGCUCACUGGCUCGGUUCUGACGCUGAGGCGCGAAAGCGUGGGGAGCAAACAGG
Molecule: ribosomal RNA, 253 nt
Filed under: uncultured bacterium
Lineage: Bacteria
Description: partial 16S ribosomal RNA
Rfam family: Bacterial small subunit ribosomal RNA
Source: RNAcentral